RNAcentral lists this unclassified non-coding RNA (293 nucleotides) under Agaricus haematinus. RNAcentral describes it as "partial contains 5.8S ribosomal RNA, internal transcribed spacer 2, and large subunit ribosomal RNA". Lineage: Eukaryota; Fungi; Basidiomycota; Agaricomycetes; Agaricales; Agaricaceae. The record is from RNAcentral.
CGCAUCUUGCGCUCCUUGGUAUUCCGAGGAGCAUGCCUGUUUGAGUGUCAUUAAAUUCUCAACUCUCUUAUACUUUGUUGUAAGAGAGCUUGGAUUGUGGAGGUGUGCUGGUCACGUUUGAGAUCAGCUCCUCUGAAAUACAUUAGCGGAACCGUUUGCGAUCUGCCACAAGUGUGAUAAACUAUCUACACUGGCUAAGGGGGAUUGCUCUCUGUUGUUCAGCUUCUAAUCGUCUUAGGACAACUUUUUGAUUACUUGACCUCAAAUCAGGUAGGACUACCCGCUGAACUUAA